UACAGAGGUCUCAAGCGUUGUUCGGAUUCAUUGGGCGUAAAGGGUGCGUAGGCGGUGGGGCAAGUCAGGUGUGAAAUCCCGGGGCUCAACCCCGGAACUGCACUUGAUACUGCUUUACUAGAGUACUGGAGAGGAGACUGGAAUUUACGGUGUAGCAGUGAAAUGCGUAGAUAUCUGGAGGAAUACCGGUGGCGAAGGCGGCAUCCUGGACCAUUUACUGACGCUGAGGCGCGAAAGCUAGGGGAGCAAACGGG
Molecule: ribosomal RNA, 254 nt
Filed under: uncultured bacterium
Lineage: Bacteria
Description: partial 16S ribosomal RNA
Rfam family: Bacterial small subunit ribosomal RNA
Source: RNAcentral